GACAUUUUUGCUACCACUUCUGUAGCCAUUGUUCUUAAGAUUAUGUUGUAAACUAUAAAACUUGGAAGUUUUUUAGCGGUAUCAUGCCAGGAAUGGAUUUUUAUGACUUCAUAGUUUGUAUGAUGCAACUGUUGGAUUUACUUUUAUUAAUGUUUAUGACUUGUACUCUCUUGCAUUUGCCAUCUUAUGUUGAGUUUAUAUUGACCAGAUUUUUUUUUUUUGGUU
RNAcentral lists this unclassified non-coding RNA (225 nucleotides) under Hevea brasiliensis (rubber tree). The record is from RNAcentral. Lineage: Eukaryota; Viridiplantae; Streptophyta; Magnoliopsida; Malpighiales; Euphorbiaceae.